GUCCACACCGUAAACGUUGGGCGCUAGGUGUGGGAUCCAUUCCACGGGUUCCGUGCCGCAGCUAACGCAUUAAGCGCCCCGCCUGGGGAGUACGGCCGCAAGGCUAAAACUCAAAGGAAUUGACGGGGGCCCGCACAAGCGGCGGAGCAUGCGGAUUAAUUCGAUGCAACGCGAAGAACCUUACCUGGGUUUGACAUACGCCGGAAACAUCCAGAGAUGGGUGCCCUUUUGUCGGUGUACAGGUGGUGCAUGGCUGUCGU
This 260-nucleotide ribosomal RNA is filed under the name uncultured bacterium. RNAcentral describes it as "partial 16S ribosomal RNA". It matches the Rfam family "Bacterial small subunit ribosomal RNA", at positions 793 to 1055 of the family's 1533-position model. The record is from RNAcentral.